This 3056-nucleotide long non-coding RNA is filed under the name Solanum tuberosum (potato). Its description in RNAcentral is "long non-coding RNA (STUB_LNC005261)". Lineage: Eukaryota; Viridiplantae; Streptophyta; Magnoliopsida; Solanales; Solanaceae. The record is from RNAcentral.
UCUUAAUAUAGCUUGAAGCCCAUAUUUACCCAAUUAAAAUAUGAGUGAUCCAAGUCAUUAAAUAUGAAUAAAAUAGACUCAUUUCGUUAAUAUGGGCUGAAAUUGUCACCCUAAUAUGAAAGAGUCUUGUUGUCAAUAAAGAUCAAUCACAGAGGACUCUCUCCUGUUUAUAUAUGAGGCUCACUCAUUUCAGUUAUCUCUAGCUUUCUUAUGAGUUCAGGUAUCGUAUGGAAUAUAAUCCACGGAUCAUUAGGAACCUAUGUAAUAGUAUCCCAAUCAAAUAGCUGAUGAGCGGAUAAAUAGUGAUUGGAAAAUAUUGUCAAUUUGGUCUGAUGAUUUUACGUGAUGAGUUAUUACCCUACCAAUCUAACAUUAUCAUUCAUGCUUUAGUCAUACGCCAGGAAAACCUUCCAACUUCACCUAACUUUUGUUAGGAAGAAUAUGCUGCUUCACUCUAGAAUGGAUCAUGAUCCUUUCUUAAGUAAAGUGGAGAUCUUUACGCGAAUAGCCGAGCAGAUUUACUGUUUACUUUUUAGAAGGCCACAUUUUAUGAUCUUUGUUUGGAGCUCACUCAAGCUAUAAUUAUGCUAUGAAUUAUAUAUAUUGAAAAAAUAAUGAGUAUUGAACGUAUCGUUUCAAGUUUCUCCCAUUCUUUUUGGCACAUUACACUAUGAAGUGAACAUCUCCCACAUUCAUCAACAAAUUCAAUUUUUAUACCACUUCUUCUUUAAAAAUCCCAAAAUUCAUCCGUCUGCCUAUUUACGCUAUCGGAGAACCCACAAGCUUUGUCAACCUAUGGUAGCAUCUAGCGAAGCAAUUAUCGAUGCAUUUUAAGAAAAAGUUCAAGCUCUUCUAAAUCUUGUUCAUGAUCGUUUCCAUGGAAUGAUUAAUAGUUAAUAUUCUGAACUCAUCGAUUUAAUAUUUUCGUCAAUAGAUUCACUCAUAUUUUUUGCCAAUGGUGGUGUAGUGAUUUGGAAGAAGCAAGAUAUAAGUAAAAUGAAAGUGCAGGUUAGGUUAGUAAUGGUGUAAUGGGUGUGGUGAGUUUGCAGGAAGAGUGGAGAAGAAGAGAAAUAAAUUAGAAGUUAAUAUUAAAGAAAAUGAAGAGUUUGUUGAAGGCUAUAAAACAAGUGGAUCUGGUGAUAUCAACUGUUGGUGCAAUGCAAUUCCGCUGAUCAAGUUAAGAUCAUUGAUGCUAUCAAAGAAGCUGGCAAUAUUAAGGUUAAUUACUUCUUGUUUUUCGAAACGGGGUUGAACUCGAGACCUCUGGUUAAGGAUGGAGGGAUCUUAUUUAUCUGUAUGCAACAUGGGACAGAGGGGAUAAUGGAGUAUGGGGAUCUUGAUUACAGUAAUUGUUGAUGAAAAUUCUUGAAUUUAUCGAUAAACAUUUGAAUUAGAGAAUUUGGCUUAAAUCUAUGUUGCUCAGAUACUUCAAUAAUGUUGAUGGUUGCAUGUUGGAUCGUCCAAAAGUAGUGUAUUUUUGGAGGAUCCAACAUGGGUUCAGCAACAUAAUUGGAUAGUCCGAGCAACAUAGCCUCCAAUUAAGGGAGUAUUCGUCUCGUUGAUUUAAGGUUAUAAAAUGAGUUAGAUUACUAAUUGUUAACAUGGCCUAGUGGAACAUCUUGAUCUGCAUAACCAAGUGUAUGACAGAAAUAUGCAGCAAGUUCGCGUAAAUGCCUCAAAUUAGGAAGAGAUGAACGCUGUGGAGCCAAUAAAGUCUACAUUGGCUGUGAAAUCCCAAAUCCGAAGAGCUAUUGAGGCUGCAGAAAUUCCCUAUACUUAUGUCUUAUGCAACUGUUUUGCUGGUUAUUUUUUAGCAACUUUGGUCCAGCCAGGAGCCACUGCUCCUCCUCGAGACAAAGUCAUCAUUACCGGAGAUGGAAUUGUUAAGGGUAAGUCAAGAAAAAAUCCUUAGGUGGUGACUCCAUUGAUUUGAAUGUGGUACGUGCGCCAACAGAACAAGUUCAUGACAAAAUGUCUCAUUUUUGUUUACUUUUUUUCUGCUUUGUUUCUGUUUGUCUGCAGCUGUAUUCAAUGAAGAACAUGACAUUGGCACCUACACCAUUAAGGCUGUUGAUGACCCGAGAAUGUUGAACAAGUCCCUUUACAUCAGGCCUCCCAAGAACACCUUAUCGUUCAACGAGCUUGUGGCUAUAUGGGAGAAACUGAUUGGUAAAACUCUCGAGAAAAUCUACGUUCCAGAGGAGCAAAUUCUCAAAGACAUCCAGAGUCAGUAAUCUUUAUAUCAUUCAUAUUUAGUCAAGACUACUGUUUCUUUCAAUUUAACAUAGGUAAUCCUGACAAUGUAUAUUGCAUACUGUUGCAGCAUCUCCAAUGCCAAUCAAUAUCGUACUAGCAAUCAACCACUCAACAUUCGUGAAGGGUGAUCAAACCAAUUUUGAGAUUGAGCCAUCGUUUGGGGUUGAGGCCUCAGAACUUUAUCCAGAUGUUAAGUACACCACCGUGGAGGAGUACAUUGGCCACUUUGUCUAAACCACACGUUUGAUGUCUUCGAUCACUCAAAUAAACUGUUAGAUGAUCUAGUGUUAUCAGACAUUUUAUCUGGAAGUAUGAGUGCUUGUUAACUAUGUCAUCAGAGACACAUUGAAUGGUAUGUUUUAAGUCUGUUUUUUCUGUCCAUACUGAGUAGUACUAUAAUGAAACUACAGAAAACGGAAGAUACAUUCGCGUCUUUUUACUUUUUACAUUGUUGCUCUACCAUCUUGUACCAGAUUUUAAGGUGUGAUGUAAUAUGAAAGAGUCUUGUUGUCAAUAAAGAUCAAUCAAAGAGGACUCUCUACUGUUUAUAAAUGAGGCUCACUCAUUUCAGUUUUCUCUAGCUUUCUUAUGAGUUCAAGUAUCGUAUGGAACAUAAUCCACGGAUCGUUUGCCUUAAAAUCUAAAGAAUUCCGUUAGGAACCUAUGUAAUAGUAUCCCGAUCAAAUAGCUGAUGAGCGGAUAUAUAGUGAUUGGAAAAUAUUGUCAAUUUGGUAUGAUGAUUUUACAUGAUGAGUUAUUACCCUACCAAUCUAACAUUAUCAUUCAUGCUUUAGUCAUAC